RNAcentral lists this ribosomal RNA (879 nucleotides) under Triticum aestivum (bread wheat). Its description in RNAcentral is "partial small subunit ribosomal RNA". The record is from RNAcentral. Lineage: Eukaryota; Viridiplantae; Streptophyta; Magnoliopsida; Poales; Poaceae.
AUGAAGCCGGGACUCCAGUUUGUUCGGGUAUUGUGCACUUCAGAUUUGGAGUACCACUCCAAGAAGGAUUGGUCGGUGCUGCCGGCUGGCGUCAAAUUCGAUCCCAUGGAUCAGGAGUUGAUCGAGCACCUUGAGGCCAAAAGCAACUCCAAGGAGUUCAAAAGGGGCAUGCGGGCGCAUCGCAAGAUGCAGUCAGAGUGCGGCGUGCACGCGGUGUGGCACAAGACCGGCAAUACCUUGCCGGUGAUGGUCAGCGGCCGGCAGACUUGCAACAAAAAGGUUCUGGUGCUGCACACCAACAAGAACUUCGACCAGCUGAGGACCAACUGGGUGAUGCACCAGUACCACCUCGGGAACUUGGAGCAAGAGAAGGAGCGGGAGCUGUAUGAUUCUAGAGAAGAUGUGUACAAGGGCAAUGUCGCGUCCUUCAAAGCGAAGGAGGAGGAGAAGAUCAAGGCCAAGGGAGUUGCUUCCUUCUACAACCGCAAGAUCAAGAAGUGGCACUGUCCCUACUACACCACCAAGCCAAAGCCAAAGGAUGGCCGCUUCGAUCACGUUGUGUCUCAUGCAGAGGAUGUAGUGAUUCGCUGGGAGGACUACGAGAUCAGGCGGCAGCAUGUUGCCCUCGCGAAGGCCCUGACUCCUUUUCCGAGAUUGAGUUCCCGAUGCCGCGGUGGCCAUCCAUCAUCCUCUUCUUCCUCUCACAUCCCUCAUUUAUCUCCCAUCCUCUUCCAUCUGCCCUUCUUGUUCUUCGACCCAAUCUUCUUCGACCCCUUCUCCUUCUUCUUCACAUCCCUUAGCCACGCAGUACACCGGACCAACCUACCGCUUCCCACCCAUCGUGCCGGAGAGGCUCUACACUGCCGGCGUAAACUUUAG